GAUGAACGCUAGCGGCAGGCUUAAUACAUGCAAGUCGUGGGGCAGCGCAGUGUAGCAAUACAUGGCGGCGGCCGGCAAACGGGUGCGGAACACGUACACAACCUUCCUACAAGUGGGGAAUAGCCCAGAGAAAUUUGGAUUAAUACCCCGUAACAUAUAAAGAUGGCAUCAUUUUAUAUUAUAGCUACGGCGCUUGUUGAUGGGUGUGCGGCUGAUUAGGUAGUUGGCGGGUAAUGGCCCACCAAGCCUGCGAUCAGUAGCUGAUGUGAGAGCGUGAUCAGCCACACGGGCACUGAGACACGGGCCCGACUCCUACGGGAGGCAGCAGUAAGGAUAUUGGACAAUGGGCGCAAGCCUGAUCCAGCCAUGCCGCGUGAAGGAUUAAGGUCCUCUGGAUUGUAAACUUCUUUUAUAAGGGACGAAAAAGGGAUUCUUUCUCACUUGACGGUACCUUAUGAAUAAGCACCGGCUAACUCCGUGCCAGCAGCCG
RNAcentral lists this ribosomal RNA (490 nucleotides) under uncultured bacterium. RNAcentral's name for it is "bacterial SSU rRNA". It matches the Rfam family "Bacterial small subunit ribosomal RNA", at positions 28 to 517 of the family's 1533-position model. The record is from RNAcentral.